UGGGGAAUUUUGCGCAAUGGGGGAAACCCUGACGCAGCAACGCCGCGUGCGGGACGAAGGCCCUCGGGUCGUAAACCGCUUUCAGCAGGGAAGACCACGACGGUACCUGCAGAAGAAGCUCCGGCUAACUACGUGCCAGCAGCCGCGGUAAUACGUAGGGGGCGAGCGUUAUCCGGAUUCAUUGGGCGUAAAGCGCGCGUAGGCGGCCGCCUAAGCGGAACCUCUAACCCCGGGGCUCAACCUCGGGCCGGGUUCCGGACUGGGCGGCUCGAGUGCGGUAGAGGAGAGCGGAAUUCCCGGUGU
Molecule: ribosomal RNA, 303 nt
Filed under: uncultured bacterium
Lineage: Bacteria
Description: bacterial SSU rRNA
Rfam family: Bacterial small subunit ribosomal RNA
Source: RNAcentral